UGUAUUUGAAAAAAAAUUGGGGUCUGCUUUCUCUUCUCCUUUUGAUUGGCUAAUUUGGGAGGUGGUGUAGUCCUCUGCCUACCCAUACGUGUCUUGCUUUGAUGCUUUCUCUCUCUCCCAGAUCUUGAAAAUCAAGUCUGAUUUCAAAGUCUUCAAAUGUCCUUUUUUUUUAUUCACAACAUCUGGACACAUAUAGUUAGAGAGAGGGAGAGAGAGCCAGAAGAAAGAUGGCAGUGGCCGACAUGGUGGUGCACGGCGACGACCAUGGCGGCAUGAGGGUGUCUGGCAGUAGCAUCUGCGGCUUGAGGGUGUUUGGCAGUCGCAUGCCACCGGUUGCUCCUUGGCCGUGGGGUGUGCUCCGGUGACCAAGUUCGCCGCCGGCAGUGAUGCCGCCGGUUGCUCCUCCCCCUUCUGCCUCCGUCUCUGGUGAAAACUUGAUUUAGAGAAGGUCAAUCUGAAUGUUGAUUUUUGUGGUUGAAAACUUUGAUUUAGAGAAACUGUGGCGAGUAGUGGGUUACAGAUCUGUACCGACGGUAUAGAGCGUAUGUUGGCUUUGGUGAUGGUGGUUAAUAUGUGUGACAGUGAUGGUGGUUAUGGCGCGUGACGGUGAUGAUGUUGUCAUGGUGUAACGGUGGUGAUGGUCACUGUGGUGAGGGAGCCGCUUCCGCCACCGCCAAACCCUCUUGGUAAAAACCAAUACAGUUUGUAUUCCAUUACUUCUUCAAUCUUGAUGCAAAUACAAAGAGGGUAAAGAUAAAUUUGAACUGGAAAAUGCAAAUCUUGAUUUGGUAGUAACUUUUUUUAUGUUAUUACUGAACUCCAAAAGAAGUGGGGUUCUUGCAUUUGGAUUAUUUGGUCAUUAUUGUGUGCACACAGGCUGUUCAACGAAAUGCAUGUGAGAUUACUAGAAGAAAAAUUCAAAUCUUUCAGUGGGAGAUUUUGUGUCUUUGUAUGUUAUGUUACCGUUAAGAAACAAAGGUCUGUGAACAAAUUGGAUUGUUGGGCUGUGAUGAUGAACACGUAUUUAUGUGAGCCUGCAUUUCAUUUAGGCUCUAAAACUAUGAUAUGCUCGACAUAGAUUUUGGCGACGAUGAUAAAAGUACAAAAUACGGUGUUUUGGCGUGGCAAACGUUAUCCUCAAACUAAUAUUUGCAGCCACAACAGUGCUGUUUUGGCGUGGCAAACGUUAUCCUCAAACUAAUAUUUGCAGCCACAACAUUCGUACUAUUCUGAGCCUAAUUAGCGGUAAAAACAAAUCGUUUAACCAAAUCGUUUAUACACAUGUCGUUUUUCAGUUAUCCUUGGCGAAAUGGCUCCGAUAGCUCUCCGCUUGUCUUAUCCUUGGUCUCCGGUUAGUCGAGACCUAUUAUUUUACAGGGAGAGGCAAGGUUUGCAGACACAAGAGAAAAAAACUGAUUGCAGAGAUCAAGAAGAGCGCCAAACAAGGCCAAAUGUGAGCUGUUAAGGUGAUGGCAAAAGAUCUCAUUAGAACACGACAUCAGAUCGAGAAGUUUUACAAGCUUAAGUUCCAACUGCAGGGUGUUUCAUAUGUCACACCCCAACCGAU
Molecule: long non-coding RNA, 1567 nt
Organism: Helianthus annuus (common sunflower)
Lineage: Eukaryota; Viridiplantae; Streptophyta; Magnoliopsida; Asterales; Asteraceae
Exons: 4
Source: RefSeq, a predicted model, not a curated record